Asterias rubens (European starfish) is the source of this 1826-nucleotide long non-coding RNA. RefSeq lists it as uncharacterized. The transcript has 4 exons. The record is from RefSeq and is a predicted model, not a curated record. Lineage: Eukaryota; Metazoa; Echinodermata; Asteroidea; Forcipulatida; Asteriidae.
GUAGCAAUCAAUGAAACAAUAGCAUCAUACAUAACAACCACCCGGUGCCUGCAUGCGCAGCUAACACCGCGACAAAUACAAAGUGCUUUCAAUUAAACUCAUUUGCUCAGUUUCGUCUAAACAACCUGUAAAUUCAGUCGAGAAACUGAUUUUCAAGCUCAACAAGUUUGGCUGGAUUUCCUGUCGUCCUAUUUCAGUAACCCGAAUACGCCUGUAGCUGAAGAAGAAACCUUGAAAAUACAAUGGCAUCACGAACACGUUUGAUAGUGGUUAGUGUGGUGGUGUUGAUGAUGUUGGUUGGGUUUCAGGAGCACUCAGUAACUGCAGAGGGUGAAGUAGCUCAAAGUGGAGUCAUUCCAUGGGCAUCUUGGGUUUCAUACCUGAGACGUGAAGCGGAAGUACGUCUCCGUAAGAGAGAGACACGUGACUGUGACACCACCAACACCAACGAGGCCGCGGAACCUAACAAAUAAGGUUUGGUUGGUGAUCAAUGUCCUGUAUUAUGGCAAAGUCUUAUCUCUUAGUGCCACAUGGUGUGCGCCAUUAAACCAGCUAGCUGCCGAGUUCAACCCUUGACCCUGCACAGUCUGUUGGCGACAUUGACGCAUCACACAGGAAAUGUUUUUGACUUUUAUUAUUUUAAAGACUUUCAAAAUCUAAUUAUUAAGUUUUCUUUUCAACAACCUGAUGAGAACACCGGGAUACGAAACAUGAGAAACAAUGGGCCUAGCCUAUACGGGAAUGCAUUGCGGAAACUCAACAGAGGCCCUGGUUUGAACAAGAUAACAGGGCGACCAUGGUAAAACAGCAUAACUCAGACAUUUUUGUUUCUUAAAUAUUAAGAUAAUUUCUGGUGGAAUCGAGGGCUUUAUUAUUUUAAUGUUUGAAAUGCGUACUAUGUUUGUUUGUGAAUAUAACUUGUUCUAUCACAACCUCUUUUAAAAAUUUCAUCUAAUUUUAUGGCAAAAGAACAUAUCUCCGUGUUUGCAUGAUUUUCUCAAAAUUGAUUUUUUUUUAGUUGGGCUCUUUUGCCAUAUGGACGGUCCGAGGGGGUCGACAGUUUCCGGAAUUAGGUUGAAGGGUGCACCCCAUUUAAUGAACUCCCAUAGAAUACAAUGUACAAUGCUUAAUAUUCAAAAACACGAAAAAUACUUAGAAGUCUGACAGCUUUUUACAGUAGAGGGGAUUAUUCAUUAUUCUCGAGCCUGCAUCAAUACACCCCUACACCAGUGUAAUUUUUCCAAACGUCCGAGCAUCAAUCUUGAAAAAUGUCCCUAAUACCUCUCAGCAACUAGGACCAGUUUUUAAGGGCCUUUAUGCAUAUCAUCCAAGUUAUGUUAUCAAGUUGGAAGUCAACAACCCCAGGUCACUAUUCGGCCGUUGUUGAACCCCCUUUCGGAGGCCCUCAAUGCUCAAACAAACAAUUAGUGACAUCGUUGUUUUGUUUUCUCCUUGGGGUGCAUCCGGUACUUUUUGAAGCUUUGACGGCGGCUUGUUGCUCUGUCGAACUUGUUUCAAUAAAAUACCGACGCCUAUAGACCUCUAUCACGGUGUGUGGUCAUCUUGAUUUUACUUCAUUCCAACUCAUUACGGUAAUCAAACUGAGGCUGGACGAAAUAAUAGUCUGGUGCCAUGCGCAAUGAAUGUUAGCAUUAAUUACUGUUAUUGGAAACAGGGAACUUGACCAAGAUAGUGACAGCGUGAUAAAGGUAUUUAUAGGCCACAAUUUAGAAAAGAGACAAACGAUGUGUACGUAACAAUUUGAGAGUAAUGACGUUAUCAAUGUUAUCAAUAUUAAAGACAUUGGACACUAUUGGUUAUAAUAA